UACAGGGGGGGCAAGCGUUGUUCGGAAUUACUGGGCGUAAAGGGCUCGUAGGCGGCCAACUAAGUCCGACGUGAAAUCCCAAAGCUUAACUUUGGAACUGCGUCGGAUACUGGAUGGCUUGAAUUCGGGAGAGGGAUGCAGAAUUCCAGGUGUAGCGGUGAAAUGCGUAGAUAUCUGGAGGAAUACCGGUGGCGAAGGCGGCAUCCUGGACCGACAUUGACGCUGAGGAGCGAAAACUAGGGGAGCAAACGGG
RNAcentral lists this ribosomal RNA (253 nucleotides) under uncultured bacterium. RNAcentral's name for it is "partial 16S ribosomal RNA". It matches the Rfam family "Bacterial small subunit ribosomal RNA", at positions 524 to 776 of the family's 1533-position model. The record is from RNAcentral.